UACAGUGACCAGGUGACGACGGAUUUCUCAAGUAACAACCUCAUGGCUUGGUCACAGUGUC
This 61-nucleotide microRNA precursor is filed under the name Bos taurus (domestic cattle). RNAcentral's name for it is "Bta-Mir-1329_pre stem-loop". The record is from RNAcentral. Lineage: Eukaryota; Metazoa; Chordata; Mammalia; Artiodactyla; Bovidae.